RNAcentral lists this ribosomal RNA (300 nucleotides) under uncultured Nonomuraea sp. RNAcentral's name for it is "bacterial SSU rRNA". It matches the Rfam family "Bacterial small subunit ribosomal RNA", at positions 115 to 416 of the family's 1533-position model. Lineage: Bacteria; Bacillati; Actinomycetota; Actinomycetes; Streptosporangiales; Streptosporangiaceae. The record is from RNAcentral.
ACGUGAGUAACCUGCCCCUGACUCUGGGAUAAGCCCGGGAAACUGGGUCUAAUACCGGAUAUGACCGCCUCCGGCAUCGGGUGGUGGUGGAAAGUUUUUCGGUUGGGGAUGGGCUCGCGGCCUAUCAGCUUGUUGGUGGGGUAGUGGCCUACCAAGGCGACGACGGGUAGCCGGCCUGAGAGGGCGACCGGCCACACUGGGACUGAGACACGGCCCAGACUCCUACGGGAGGCAGCAGUAGGGAAUCAUCCGCAAUGGGCGAAAGCCUGACGGUGCAACGCCGCGUGAGUGAUGAAGGUU